UGUGUGAAAGAGAGGAAAGUUGAUUCCUCUUGGAUGUGAGUUUUUGGUGUGGGCACCCUAGGGUUCUGUCUAGGAUUUUAUGAGAAGAGAGAAAAGAGAGUUAAGAGAAUCUUCUCCUCUUCUUCUUCCACCACCUUACCUCCUCCUAAGUGUCUUUCUCAUUCUCGAAAGAGUCUGAGAGAAUCGAAGGAGCAAGAUUGGCCAUCAAGAAGAUUUUCACACAAGCUAGCACUCCCAGAGAAAUCGAUCAAUGCUAGGGCUUCGCG
Molecule: long non-coding RNA, 266 nt
Filed under: Elaeis guineensis (African oil palm)
Lineage: Eukaryota; Viridiplantae; Streptophyta; Magnoliopsida; Arecales; Arecaceae
Description: long non-coding RNA (EGUI_LNC009216)
Source: RNAcentral